Molecule: ribosomal RNA, 600 nt
Filed under: uncultured bacterium
Lineage: Bacteria
Description: bacterial SSU rRNA
Rfam family: Bacterial small subunit ribosomal RNA
Source: RNAcentral
CCUACGGGAGGCAGCAGUGGGGAAUAUUGGACAAUGGGCGAAAGCCUGAUCCAGCAAUGCCGCGUGAGUGAUGAAGGCCUUCGGGUCGUAAAGCUCUUUUACCAGGGAUGAUAAUGACAGUACCUGGAGAAUAAGCUCCGGCUAACUCCGUGCCAGCAGCCGCGGUAAUACGGAGGGAGCUAGCGUUGUUCGGAAUUACUGGGCGUAAAGAGUACGUAGGCGGUUAUUCAAGUCAGAGGUGAAAGCCCGGGGCUCAACCCCGGAACUGCCUUUGAAACUAGAUAACUAGAGUCUUGGAGAGGUUAGUGGAAUUCCGAGUGUAGAGGUGAAAUUCGUAGAUAUUCGGAAGAACACCAGUGGCGAAGGCGACUAACUGGACAAGUACUGACGCUGAGGUACGAAAGCGUGGGGAGCAAACAGGAUUAGAUACCCUGGUAGUCCACGCCGUAAACGAUGAUACUAGUUGUUCGGUCUACUGUGUACGUGAGUGACGCAGACUACGACAUUAAGUUAUCCGUCCGUCGGGUAGGUACGGUCGCGAGAAUUAAACUUAAAGUAAGUAGUAGACGNGNGAGNGCGACGACGACGACGACGGAGGAG